This 440-nucleotide ribosomal RNA is filed under the name uncultured bacterium. Its description in RNAcentral is "partial 16S ribosomal RNA". It matches the Rfam family "Bacterial small subunit ribosomal RNA", at positions 338 to 795 of the family's 1533-position model. The record is from RNAcentral.
CCUACGGGUGGCAGCAGUGGGGAAUAUUGCACAAUGGGGGAAACCCUGAUGCAGCGACGCCGCGUGCGUGAAGAAGUAAUUCGUUAUGUAAAGCUCUAUCAGCAGGGAAGAAAAUGACGGUAACUGAGUAAGAAGCACCGGCCAACUCCGUGCCAGCAGCCGCGGGAAUACGUAGGGCGGAAGCGUUCUCCCGAUUUACUGGGGGUAAAGGGAGCGUAGACGGCAGUGCAAGGCUGGAGUGAAAGGCGGGGGGUCAACCCCCGGACUGCUCUGGAAACUGUACGGCUGGAGUGCAGGAGAGGUAAGUGGAAUUCCUAGUGGAGCGGUGAAAUGCGUAGAUAUUAGGAGGAACACCAGUGGCGAAGGCGGCUUACUGGACUGUAACUGACGUUGAGGCACGAAAGCGUGGGGAGCAAACAGGAUUAGAUACCCCAGUAGUC